RNAcentral lists this ribosomal RNA (254 nucleotides) under uncultured bacterium. RNAcentral describes it as "partial 16S ribosomal RNA". It matches the Rfam family "Bacterial small subunit ribosomal RNA", at positions 524 to 776 of the family's 1533-position model. The record is from RNAcentral.
UACGAAGGGGGCUAGCGUUGCUCGGAAUCACUGGGCGUAAAGCGCACGUAGGCGGCUUUCUAAGUCAGGGGUGAAAUCCUGGAGCUCAACUCCAGAACUGCCUUUGAUACUGAGAGGCUUGAGUCCGGGAGAGGUGAGUGGAACUGCGAGUGUAGAGGUGAAAUUCGUAGAUAUUCGCAAGAACACCAGUGGCGAAGGCGGCUCACUGGCCCGAUACUGACGCUGAGGCACGAAAAGCGUGGGGAGCAAACAGG